This 266-nucleotide ribosomal RNA is filed under the name uncultured archaeon. Its description in RNAcentral is "partial 16S ribosomal RNA". It matches the Rfam family "Archaeal small subunit ribosomal RNA", at positions 718 to 982 of the family's 1478-position model. The record is from RNAcentral.
AGUCACUGACAUUAGAUACCCCCGUAGUCCAGGGUGUAAACGCUGCAGACUCGGUGUUGGGAACCCUUCGGGGGUGCUCAGUGCCGGAGAGAAGUUGUUAAGUCUGCUACUUGGGGAGUACGUCCGCAAGGAUGAAACUUAAAGGAAUUGGCGGGGGAGCACCGCAACGGGAGGAGCGUGCGGUUUAAUUGGAUUCAACGACCGAAAAACUCACCAGCAGCGACUGUUACAUGAAAGUCAGGUUGAUGACCUUACUAGAUUUUCAG